Non-coding RNA from Ceratotherium simum simum (southern white rhinoceros), 244 nucleotides. The record is from RefSeq and is a predicted model, not a curated record. Lineage: Eukaryota; Metazoa; Chordata; Mammalia; Perissodactyla; Rhinocerotidae.
CCACAUUUACCCUGUGACCAAGUCAUCAGCCUUAUGAUCCUCAGCAACCUUGUGAAGCAGAAGCUGUAUGCAACACAGAUGCAGUUCCAAUCAAUUAUUGUGGAUUUCACUCACCUGGUGGAGACGUGCUGCCAAGCAGAGAAAAGUGAAAAGUGUUUCCAAGAAGAGGGGUCUAAACUGAUGGAAAAGUGCCAGUCUCUCUUGGAAGGCUAAAUGAGUCCGGAAAAUGUCAAUAUACGAUCUU